AUUGAACGCUGGCGGCGUGCUUAACACAUGCAAGUCGAUCGGUAACAGGUGUAGCAAUACAUGCUGACGAGAGGCGGACGGGUGAGUAAUGCUUGGGAAUCUGCCUAUUAGUGGGGGACGAACCCGGGGAAACGUCGGGCUAAUACUGGAUAUGACUCCAUGACGCAUGUUGUGGGGUGGAAAGCCUUGUGCGGCUGAGGAUGGGCCCGCGGCCUAUCAGCUUGUUGGUGGGGUGAUGGCCUACCAAGGCGACGACGGGUAGCCGGCCUGAGAGGGCGACCGGCCACACUGGGACUGAGACACGGCCCAGACUCCUACGGGAGGCAGCAGUGGGAAUCUUGCGCAAUGGGCGAAAGCCUGACGCAGCGACGCCGCGUGAGGGAUGACGGCCU
This 392-nucleotide ribosomal RNA is filed under the name uncultured bacterium. RNAcentral's name for it is "bacterial SSU rRNA". It matches the Rfam family "Bacterial small subunit ribosomal RNA", at positions 28 to 417 of the family's 1533-position model. The record is from RNAcentral.